Molecule: ribosomal RNA, 230 nt
Filed under: Cellvibrio sp. RS18
Lineage: Bacteria; Pseudomonadati; Pseudomonadota; Gammaproteobacteria; Cellvibrionales; Cellvibrionaceae
Description: partial 16S ribosomal RNA
Rfam family: Bacterial small subunit ribosomal RNA
Source: RNAcentral
GGCGGCAGGCCUAACACAUGCAAGUCGAGCGCGAAAGUUCUUCGGAAUGAGUAAAGCGGCGGACGGGUGAGUAAUACAUGGGAAUCUGCCUGGUAGUGGGGGACAACGUUUCGAAAGGAACGCUAAUACCGCAUACGCCCUACGGGGGAAAGGGGGGGAUCUUCGGACCUCUCGCUAUCAGAUGAGCCCAUGUCGGAUUAGCUNGUUGGUGGGGUAAAGGCUCACCAAGG